Molecule: non-coding RNA, 233 nt
Filed under: Metapseudomonas resinovorans NBRC 106553
Lineage: Bacteria; Pseudomonadati; Pseudomonadota; Gammaproteobacteria; Pseudomonadales; Pseudomonadaceae
Description: Pseudomonas resinovorans NBRC 106553 sRNA regulator of biofilms A
Rfam family: sRNA regulator of biofilms A
About the family: Bacterial strain with deleted SrbA had reduced biofilm mass. However, the deletion of srbA had no effect on growth or antibiotic resistance in P. aeruginosa.
Source: Rfam by way of RNAcentral
GCCAGGGGCCCUGAAUAGGGCCUCCGGAUCGCGCUCUCAGCCAACCAGCCGAGCCGAUCCGCGUUGUGAAAGCCCAAAAGGCAGUGCGACAAGGUUGCGACUGGAACGUAGUUGUCCUGAGGGACGGGGAAGCGUCAGCAACAUCAGCAAGAUCGAAGGCAGUGCCCGGCAGAUCGCCCAACGGUUACCACGAACCGGCAAGCGAGUCAGGAGCGCAAAACCACCCAUCGAUC